GAUGGACGCUGGCGGCGUGCCUAAUACAUGCAAGUCGAGCGAACGGACGAGAAGCUUGCUUCUCUGAUGUUAGCGGCGGACGGGUGAGUAACACGUGGAUAACCUACCUAUAAGACUGGGAUAACUUCGGGAAACCGGAGCUAAUACCGGAUAAUAUUUUGAACCGCAUGGUUCAAAAGUGAAAGACGGUCUUGCUGUCACUUAUAGAUGGAUCCGCGCUGCAUUAGCUAGUUGGUAAGGUAACGGCUUACCAAGGCAACGAUGCAUAGCCGACCUGAGAGGGUGAUCGGCCACACUGGAACUGAGGCACGGUCCAGACUCCUACGGGAGGCAGCAGUAGGGAAUCUUCCGCAAUGGGCGAAAGCCUGACGGAGCAACGCCGCGUGAGUGAUGAAGGUCUUCGGAUCGUAAAACUCUGUUAUUAGGGAAGAACAUAUGUGUAAGUAACUGUGCACAUCUUGACGGUACCUAAUCAGAAAGCCACGGCUAACUACGUG
This 497-nucleotide ribosomal RNA is filed under the name uncultured bacterium. Its description in RNAcentral is "partial 16S ribosomal RNA". It matches the Rfam family "Bacterial small subunit ribosomal RNA", at positions 28 to 507 of the family's 1533-position model. The record is from RNAcentral.